UUUGUAAUGCUAUUUUACAUUUUUCUUUACACCAACGAUGUCUUACACGUGAGAAAUUUACUCUCACGUGUAAGACAUGUAAGACAUCGUUGGUGUAAAGAAAAAUUUAAAAUUGCACGUAAUUUUCAUUUUAA
This 134-nucleotide small RNA is filed under the name Mytilus galloprovincialis (Mediterranean mussel). The record is from RNAcentral. Lineage: Eukaryota; Metazoa; Mollusca; Bivalvia; Mytilida; Mytilidae.